Molecule: small RNA, 1321 nt
Filed under: Rattus norvegicus (Norway rat)
Lineage: Eukaryota; Metazoa; Chordata; Mammalia; Rodentia; Muridae
Description: uncharacterized LOC102550950
Source: RNAcentral
GCCCCCUGGCAACCCGAGUCGCGUCAUUGCGCAAGGCUUGGGGAGCGCUGUCGGGUUCCACGUGACUCCUCCUGGGGCCUCCGUCAAAGGGAAGGCGGGGAACACCAAGUGGGUUCGUGCCUCUCGCUUUGUGACUAGACCAUGCCAGAACUGGGACUGGUGACUGGGACUGGUGACUGGGGCUGCUGACUCUGGUGGCCAGCUGUGCUGCCGCCCUCUCUAUGAUGACUUUCUAGACCUUGGAAGAAACGAGAAAGGUUCAUCUUAUGUCUUUGAGUAUUCUGUCUGCGUGUGUGCAUGUGCGUCCGUCCCAUACAUGCCGUGCCUGGUGCUCACAGAGACCAAAAGAGGGCAUCUGAUCCCUUGGAACUGGAGCUACAGACAGUUGGACUGAACCACCCGGUUUGGCUCGGUGACUCAGCCCUGUGUCUGCUACUCGUCUGGAGGUCACCUGGGAGCUGUCCUGAUUAUCAGAUCUAUUAUUGCUGUCCUUGCCUCCAGGUCCAGGAGGCCAGAGGAUGGUAUCGAAUUCCCCGGAAGUGGAGUUAUGGGAAGUUGUGAGCCAUCAUGGGGACGCUGGAAAUCGAACCCAGGUCCUCUGCAAGGGCAGCAAGGGCUCUUAACCGCCGAGCCAUCCCGCCAGUCCCUAAGAGAUUUCGUGUUGUGUGUGUGUGUGUGUUUUUUUUAACAUCCUGAACUUUGAGCUGAUGUAAACGUGUUCAGUAAAACCACAGGAGUCCAUUGCUUCACGACAAGCCCGGAAAGAUUAGACUAUAAUUGAAAGAUGGUAUGACUCACAGUAGCACAUACCUUCAAGCUCUUUAUUUCCCCUUCAGAGAAACAAACAUGAAGGAGGCUUCUUUUCAAAGAAGCAGUUUUUCAAUGCGCACACUGAUGAAGUUCCUUCGGGGCUUCAUACUUUCACAACCAACUAAGCCAGCCAACCAAUCAACAAACGAAAAAAGAUGAAACAAAACCCCCAAAUUAAACUAACCAAAUUCGUUUUUGACCCUGCCUGACAAAGAAAAGAACUGAAACAACUAAACUACUUUCCCUUUCCUUUUGAGACAGGGUCUCGGUCUGUGUCCCAGAUCGGUCUGGAGUUCUAGAAGGUCCAGGAUGCAUAGUCUGGGAUGGCCUGAGUCCCUUUGCCCCAACAGCCUGAGUCCAGGGAUCACAGGCAUGAACCCCUGUGCCACACUCACUGUUCCUUGCUCCAUUCCUGUUUUUCUGCCCCUAGAUAACUAUGUCCUUCCCCUUGGAACAUUUACUUUAUUUUGAGAAGUGUCUGACUCUAAAACAAAAAGUUUGUCCAACUGAA